RNAcentral lists this ribosomal RNA (489 nucleotides) under uncultured bacterium. RNAcentral describes it as "bacterial SSU rRNA". It matches the Rfam family "Bacterial small subunit ribosomal RNA", at positions 8 to 483 of the family's 1533-position model. The record is from RNAcentral.
AGAGUUUGAUCAUGGCUCAGGACGAACGCUGGCGGCGUGCUUAACACAUGCAAGUCGAGGAGAACGGGAUUCUUCGGAUUCCCAAGUAAACUGGCGAAUGGGUGAGUAACGCGUAGGCAAUCUGCCUUACAGAGAGGGAUAACAUCGGGAAACUGGUGCUAAUACCUCAUAUAAUUUUUUUAUUGCAUGGUAGAAAAAUGAAAAGGGCUACUUUUAGUAGUGCCGCUGUAAGAUGAGCCUGCGUCCUUUUAGCUUGUUGGCAGGGUAACGGCCUACCAAGGCGACGAUGGGUAGCUGGUCUGAGAGGAUGAUCAGCCACACUGGCACUGAGACACGGGCCAGACUCCUACGGGAGGCAGCAGUGAGGAAUAUUGGGCAAUGGGCGCAAGCCUGACCCAGCAACGCCGCGUGAGUGAUGAAGCACCGAGGUGUGUAAAGCUCUGUUAGGAGGGAAGAAACUCCCGAUUUGUCGGGANGGACGGACCUCCA